GAUAGUGAACCAGUACCGUGAGGGAAAGGCGAAAAGAACCCCGGCGAGGGGAGUGAAAAAGAACCUGAAACCGUGUACGUACAAGCAGUGGGAGCACAGGUUUACCUGUGUGACUGCGUACCUUUUGUAUAAUGGGUCAGCGACUUAUAUUCUGUAGCAAGGUUAACCGUAUAGGGGAGCCGUAGGGAAACCGAGUCUUAACCGGGCGUUAAGUUGCAGGGUAUAGACCCGAAACCCGGUGAUCUAGCCAUGGGCAGGUUGAAGGUUGGGUAACACUAACUGGAGGACCGAACCGACUAAUGUUGAAAAAUUAGCGGAUGACCUGUGGCUGGGGGUGAAAGGCCAAUCAAACCGGGAGAUAGCUGGUUCUCCCCGAAAGCUAUUUAGGUAGCGCCUCGUGAAUUCAUCUCCGGGGGUAGAGCACUGUUUCGGCUAGGGGGCCAUCCCGGCUUACCAACCCGAUGCAAACUGCGAAUACCGGAGAAUGUUAUCACGGGAGACACACGGCGGGUGCUAACGUCCGUCGUGAAGAGGGAAACAACCCAGACCGCCAGCUAAGGUCCCAAAGUCAUGGUUAAGUGGGAAACGAUGUGGGAAGGCCCAGACAGCCAGGAUGUUGGCUUAGAAGCAGCCAUCAUUUAAAGAAAGCGUAAUAGCUCACUGGUCGAGUCGGCCUGCGCGGAAGAUGUAACGGGGCUAAACCAUGCACCGAAGCUGCGGCAGCGAACGUAUCACCCAAGACAACUUUACGGAGUUGACGAUUGACGGAGCGAAGCGACGUCAAAGCGUUCAUUAAAGUCGAGUUGGCUUAGGGAUACGUUCGUUGGGUAGGGGAGCGUUCUGUAAGCCUGUGAAGGUGUGUCGUGAGGCAUGCUGGAGGUAUCAGAAGUGCGAAUGCUGACAUAAGUAACGAUAAAGCGGGUGAAAAGCCCGCUCGCCGGAAGACCAAGGGUUCCUGUCCAACGUUAAUCGGGGCAGGGUGAGUCGACCCCUAAGGCGAGGCCGAAAGGCGUAGUCGAUGGGAAACGGGUUAAUAUUCCCGUACUUGGUGUUACUGCGAAGGGGGGACGGAGAAGGCUAUGUUGGCCGGGCGACGGUUGUCCCGGUUUAAGCGUGUAGGUGUGUGUUCCAGGUAAAUCCGGUUCACUUUAACACUGAGGCGUGACGACGAGGCACUACGGUGCUGAAGCAACAAAUGCCCUGCUUCCAGGAAAAGCCUCUAAGCAUCAGGUAACAC
This 1237-nucleotide ribosomal RNA is filed under the name Salmonella enterica subsp. enterica serovar Typhimurium. RNAcentral's name for it is "partial 23S ribosomal RNA". It matches the Rfam family "Bacterial large subunit ribosomal RNA", at positions 486 to 1637 of the family's 2925-position model. Lineage: Bacteria; Pseudomonadati; Pseudomonadota; Gammaproteobacteria; Enterobacterales; Enterobacteriaceae. The record is from RNAcentral.